GAUGAACGCUGGCGGCGUGCCUAAUACAUGCAAGUCGAGCGAACAGACGAGGAGCUUGCUCCUCUGACGUUAGCGGCGGACGGGUGAGUAACACGUGGAUAACCUACCUAUUAGACUGGGAUAACUUCGGGAAACCGGAGCUAAUACCGGAUAAUAUAUUGUACCGCAUGGUUCAAUAGUGAAAGACGGUUUUGCUGUAACUUAUAGAUGGAUUCGCGUCGCAUUAGCUAGUUGGUAAGGUAACGGCUUACCAAGGCGACGAUGCGUAGCCGACCUGAGAGGUUGAUCGGCCACACUGGAACUGAGACACGGUCCAGACUCCUACGGGAGGCAGCAUUAGGGAAUCUUCCGCAAUGGGCGAAAGCCUGACGGAGCAACGCCGCGUGAGUGAUGAAGGUCUUCGGAUCGUAAAACUCUGUUAUUAGGGAAGAACAAAUGUAUAAGUAACUAUGCACGUCUUGACGGUACCUAAUCAGAAAGCCACGGCUAACUACGUG
This 497-nucleotide ribosomal RNA is filed under the name uncultured bacterium. RNAcentral's name for it is "partial 16S ribosomal RNA". It matches the Rfam family "Bacterial small subunit ribosomal RNA", at positions 28 to 507 of the family's 1533-position model. The record is from RNAcentral.